Molecule: ribosomal RNA, 482 nt
Filed under: uncultured bacterium
Lineage: Bacteria
Description: partial 16S ribosomal RNA
Rfam family: Bacterial small subunit ribosomal RNA
Source: RNAcentral
AUUGAACGCUGGCGGCAUGCUUUACACAUGCAAGUCGAACGGUAACAGGCCGCAAGGUGCUGACGAGUGGCGAACGGGUGAGUAAUGCAUCGGAACGUGCCCAGUCGUGGGGGAUAACUACUCGAAAGAGUAGCUAAUACCGCAUACGAUCUAUGGAUGAAAGCGGGGGACCGUAAGGCCUCGCGCGAUUGGAGCGGCCGAUGUCAGAUUAGGUAGUUGGUGGGGUAAAGGCUCACCAAGCCAACGAUCUGUAGCUGGUCUGAGAGGACAACCAGCCACACUGGAAGAGAGACACGGCCAAGACUACUACGGGAGGCAGCAGUGGGGAAUUUUGGACAAUGGGCGCAAGCCUGUUCCAGUAAUGCAGCGUGCAGAAAGAAGGCCUUCGGGUUGUAAACUGCUUUUGUACGAAACGAAAAGGCUCUAGUUAAGACCCGGAGAUAAUGACGAUACCGUAUGAAUAUGCACCGGCUAACUCCGUG